RNAcentral lists this microRNA precursor (139 nucleotides) under Nicotiana sylvestris (wood tobacco). RNAcentral describes it as "MIR396 microRNA precursor family". It matches the Rfam family "MIR396 microRNA precursor family". RNAcentral also lists the same sequence under 1 other name. The record is from Rfam by way of RNAcentral. Lineage: Eukaryota; Viridiplantae; Streptophyta; Magnoliopsida; Solanales; Solanaceae.
CUUUGUAUUUUUCCACAGCUUUCUUGAACUGCAUAUAUAUUAGAAAAUUCACACCAUAUAUAACCAAUUAUCAUUAUUGGAGGUGAAAAUAAAAAAAAAAAUUGUUGCGGUUCAAUAAAGUUGUGGGAAGAUACAGAUA